CGGACGGGUGAGUAAUGUCUGGGAAACUGCCCGAUGGAGGGGGAUAACUACUGGAAACGGUAGCUAAUACCGCAUAACGUCGCAAGACCAAAGAGGGGGACCUUCGGGCCUCUUGCCAUCGGAUGUGCCCAGAUGGGAUUAGCUAGUAGGUGGGGUAACGGCUCACCUAGGCGACGAUCCCUAGCUGGUCUGAGAGGAUGACAGCCACACUGGAACUGAGACACGGUCCAG
Molecule: ribosomal RNA, 231 nt
Filed under: uncultured bacterium
Lineage: Bacteria
Description: partial 16S ribosomal RNA
Rfam family: Bacterial small subunit ribosomal RNA
Source: RNAcentral